CUGAUUGAUGGUGCUUGCACCUGAUUGACGAUGGAUCACCAGUGAGUGGCGGACGGGUGAGUAACACGUAGGUAACCUGCCCCGGAGCGGGGGAUAACAUUUGGAAACAGAUGCUAAUACCGCAUAACAACAAAAGCCACAUGGCUUUUGUUUGAAAGAUGGCUUUGGCUAUCACUCUGGGAUGGACCUGCGGUGCAUUAGCUAGUUGGUAAGGUAACGGCUUACCAAGGCGAUGAUGCAUAGCCGAGUUGAGAGACUGAUCGGCCACAAUGGAACUGAGACACGGUCCAUACUCCUACGGGAGGCAGCAGUAAGGAAUCUUCCACAAUGGGCGCAAGCCUGAUGGAGCAACACCGCGUGAGUGAAGAAGGGUUUCGGCUCGUAAAGCUCUGUUGUUGGAGAAGAACGUGCGUGAGAGUAACUGUUCACGCAGUGACGGUAUCCAACCAGAAAGUCACGGCUAACUACGUGCCAGCAGCCGCGGUAAUACGUAGGUGGCAAGCGUUAUCCGGAUUUAUUGGGCGUAAAGCGAGCGCAGGCGGUUGCUUAGGUCUGAUGUGAAAGCCUUCGGCUUAACCGAAGAAGUGCAUCGGAAACCUGGCGACUUGAGUGCAGAAGAGGACAGUGGAACUCCAUGUGU
RNAcentral lists this ribosomal RNA (640 nucleotides) under Limosilactobacillus reuteri. RNAcentral describes it as "bacterial SSU rRNA". It matches the Rfam family "Bacterial small subunit ribosomal RNA", at positions 63 to 676 of the family's 1533-position model. The record is from RNAcentral. Lineage: Bacteria; Bacillati; Bacillota; Bacilli; Lactobacillales; Lactobacillaceae.